GACGAACCGUGCGAACGUUGUUCGGAAUCACUGGGCUUAAAGGGCGCGUAGGCGGGCCAUCAAGUCCGGGGUGAAAUCUUUCGGCUUAACCGGAAAAUUGCCUUGGAUACUGGUGGUCUUGAGGGAAGUAGGGGUCUGCGGAACUUCCGGUGGAGCGGUGAAAUGUGUUGAUAUUGGAAGGAACGCCGGUGGCGAAAGCGGCGGACUGGGCUUCUUCUGACGCUGAGGCGCGAAGGCGUGGGGAGCGAACGGG
This 253-nucleotide ribosomal RNA is filed under the name uncultured prokaryote. RNAcentral describes it as "partial 16S ribosomal RNA". It matches the Rfam family "Bacterial small subunit ribosomal RNA", at positions 524 to 776 of the family's 1533-position model. The record is from RNAcentral.